This 485-nucleotide ribosomal RNA is filed under the name uncultured bacterium. RNAcentral's name for it is "bacterial SSU rRNA". It matches the Rfam family "Bacterial small subunit ribosomal RNA", at positions 30 to 507 of the family's 1533-position model. The record is from RNAcentral.
AUUGAACGCUGGCGGCAGGCCUAACACAUGCAAGUCGAGCGGUAGAAGGGAGCUUGCUUCCUUUGAGAGCGGCGGACGGGUGAGUAAUGCCUAGGAAUCUGCCUGGUAGUGGGGGGAUAACGUUCGGAAACGGACGCUAAUACCGCAUACGUCCUACGGGAGAAAGUGGGGGAUCUUCGGACCUCACGCUAUCAGAUGAGCCUAGGUCGGAUUAGCUAGUUGGUGAGGUAAUGGCUCACCAAGGCGACGAUCCGUAACUGGUCUGAGAGGAUGAUCAGUCACACUGGAACUGAGACACGGUCCAGACUCCUACGGGAGGCAGCAGUGGGGAAUAUUGGACAAUGGGCGCAAGCCUGAUCCAGCCAUGCCGCGUGUGUGAAGAAGGUCUUCGGAUUGUAAAGCACUUUAAGUUGGGAGGAAGGGUAGUAGCUUAAUACGUUGCUACUUUGACGUUACCGACAGAAUAAGCACCGGCUAACUCCGUG